RNAcentral lists this long non-coding RNA (1862 nucleotides) under Parus major (Great Tit). RNAcentral's name for it is "lncRNA (ENSPMJG00000018575.1)". Lineage: Eukaryota; Metazoa; Chordata; Aves; Passeriformes; Paridae. The record is from RNAcentral.
GGAGUAGACACAUUUUAUCAGGAAUUUCUGCUCUAUGAAUACCUGUGGAUAUAUGUUUAUUUUCUAAGGCUGCACGUCAGAACAAGAUAAUCUGCACUGUUCCCUCAUGACUGAUAGAAGAGGUCACAAAGGCAAGUCUACCUCUGUAUCAGAGACAUGAGGUCAGGGACAGGGCCUCAACUUUGUACCCCAAAUAAAGCUAAAGCUUUAAGGUAAACCUGAUGGACUUGGGAGCUUUCCUGAACCUACUCAAGCUAUAACCAGUAAGAUGCAGCACUGUGGAGCCUUGGGUCUGUCUCCAUGGGGGAAAGUCCAGAGGACUGAGGCUGGGAAAUCUCAAAUAUAUAUGGAGAGAAGGCUUGUUGACCUGCAGAGCCUUUUUGUGGUCCAUGAAGAUGGAUUCCUUGAGCCUGAGUACUCAUACAUCAUGUUAAUAAUUGUAUAUAAUUGCAUAUACAUUGCUCAGUAUUUUAUAUCAGCAUUUUAUAUCACUACACAAGUCCAGUGUCAUCUACUGUGCAGCCUAGGUGAGCCCUGGCAGUAAUUAAAGUAUUUUAAACCAUCUGGUUAAUUGCAAAAAAAAAAAUACACUGAUGAGCUUGCACUGUUUGAAUGAUCUUCAGGAAACUAUUAGGCUAAAGCAAUUCCCUCUUGGCAAGGUUUAGCUAAUUCACAAUGUUUGUUCUGUGAAUUACAGUUGGUCUUUACACCAUUUGUUAGUCUUGUAGCAGAGCCCUGCUUGCUGCUACUGAGCCAGAGAUUCCUCCUGUUCUCCUUUGCUCUGCUUCCUCAUCUCUGCCUGUCAAGCUCUUCAUUGAAGUGGAGACUUUGGGAGCAGAGCAUGAGAGAAGCUGGGCAGUGAAAUCCAGCCCUCUCCCUUCCCAGCCGUGCUUGGAGCCUUGACCCAGAGAGGAAGAAUCCCUGUGCCAGCUGCUGCCUGCUCACUCUGGCUCUGUGCCAAGCAUCCCUCACUGCUUGCUCGGGCACCUCAGUCUCUUCUGCCGGGGAGAGCAGGGCGGUGCUGGGGCAGGGUAUCCGAGCUGCACUUCCAGCUUCCUCGAGCAGCUCCUCAGCUGGAGCCUCUGCUCAGCCCUGGCUGAGUCCCUGGAGCAGAGCACGGCAUUUCCACCUGCUCUCAGCGGCGGCAGCAGGGAAUGGAGCCAUGCUGCAAGGUCGCCCUCCCAGAGAAACAGGUGGGGCUCCCAGGCCCAGGUGCCUCAGGAGCCGUUCAGAAGGGGUGGGUCAACAGAAACAGUGGUCUGACAUCGUCACCUUGGGGAACUUGCCCUUAGGGCUGCUGUGAAGGCUCGGCAUAUGGCAUGGCAUGGCAUGGCACGGCAUGGCACGGCACCUGCACGUCCCAGCUCCUCUGAAAUGGGGAGUCCCCAGCUGCCUGCAGCUCUGGGCUCAGCAGGCACGGGAGACAGUGUUGGCCAUUCCUGCUGCACGCCUGGCUCAAUCACCCCUCUGCCUCCCAGCCAGGAAAAAGGCACUGGAGACACAGGAGAGAAAGCUACUGAAGAAAUAGGUAAGAACCGUAGGCUAGCAGGCCUGCUUCAAUUUUCAUUAAAAGUAAAUUAAAGUAAUCCUUUCAUAAGCAUAGGAGUCAACCCGUCCUGAAGAUUGUUUGAGUAUUCCAUCCCUGCCACGUGGGCAAGAGUCAGUGGGUAGUUUGUCCUGAGAUCAAGCCCCACCCUUUCUAUUCAGAAAUCCCCCUUACUGUUUAAUUAAACUGCCUGAAUGUCUCCCAAAAGCCACCAUGUAAGUAUCUUAUAGUCUGGAUUACAAAUAUUAGGAUAGUAUGAGGUAAAACCAUUAGAUUACCUCAGCAUAAACUGAAAUAAAAUUGUAAUGUUUAUACA